This is a long non-coding RNA of Etheostoma spectabile (orangethroat darter), 773 nucleotides long. RefSeq lists it as uncharacterized. The record is from RefSeq and is a predicted model, not a curated record. NCBI's taxonomy places the organism in Eukaryota, Metazoa, Chordata, Actinopteri, Perciformes, Percidae. The transcript is spliced from 3 exons.
ACAUUACACUGGUGGGAGACCACGAACGAAAGGUGUGUUGCUUCAAGUUCUGCUGAACCCAAGAGAGGAAGUGAGAAGUUAGCUAGCUGAAGAUACUGUACACUGGGACUAACAAGAGCUCUCUUCGAGAACACAAGCAAUAUCUAAGUGCUGUUGGACCAGAUCUCCAGAAGAUGUCAGCAAAUAUCUACAAGCUGAAAACAGCAAUCAGCAUAAUAACCUGUCGUCGGAUCGUCACAAGGCAUCAGCGGCUAACCUGUAGUUGUGGGUCCAACGUAGCAUCCAGUCCCCCGUGGCACUGCCAGCCAGUCAGCUCAGCACCGCGUUCAGCAAAGGGCUUCAGAGCUCAUCAAACUCAAAACCACUCACAGAAACAAUGCUCCGGAUCAAUCUAACCCAAACUCUCAGGAGGGCAACAAGCUGUGGGCUCAAGCGGCUUUUCCAUUUGGGCGUCAGUGAGCUUCUCUUAAAGUUCAUCUGAGGGUAGGUUCAUGCCCAAGGCUACCCCCCCCCCCCCAAAAAAAAAUUAAACACCACACAGAGCUUUUUAUUUUGACUUAACUACAUUGCCAAGUUAAACUGACAGAAUCGUUUGUGUAUGUGUGUGUGUGUGUGUACGUGUACGUAGGCACCCUUUUAGUUUGCAACUCUGAUGCUUUCUGCUGCUCUGAGGGAUGUACUGUGUGUCUCGCUGCUUUGAACUUCCACACACAGGGCCAGCGGUUGCCAAGCAAUUACAGACAGCCUGCUCUUCGUGAGUGCCUUUUGGGAAA